GUAUGGNGCAAGCGUUAUCCGGAUUUACUGGGUGUAAAGGGNGCGUAGANGGNUNGNCAAGUCUGAUGUGAAAGGCUGGGGCUUAACCCCUGGACUGCUUUNGAAACUGNNGUNCUUGAGUGCCGGAGAGGNAAGCGGAAUUCCUAGUGUAGCGGUGAAAUGCGUAGAUAUUAGGAGGAACACCAGUGGCGAAGGCGGCUUACUGGACUGNAACUGACNUUGAGGCUCAAAAGCGUGGGGAGCAAACAGGAUUAGAUACCCUGGUAGUCCACGCCGUAAANGAUGAAUGCUAGGUGUCAGUGGAGUCACAGACUCUUUGGUGCCGCCGCNAACGCAUUAAGUAUUCCACCUGGGGAGU
RNAcentral lists this ribosomal RNA (358 nucleotides) under uncultured bacterium. RNAcentral describes it as "partial 16S ribosomal RNA". It matches the Rfam family "Bacterial small subunit ribosomal RNA", at positions 527 to 881 of the family's 1533-position model. The record is from RNAcentral.